Molecule: microRNA precursor, 198 nt
Filed under: Gossypium raimondii (Peruvian cotton)
Lineage: Eukaryota; Viridiplantae; Streptophyta; Magnoliopsida; Malvales; Malvaceae
Description: miR8686 stem-loop (gra-MIR8686)
Source: miRBase by way of RNAcentral
UACUAGGGACAGAGAAUGUCAGUACUAGAGGCAGCAAAAUCAAGAAAAAAUAGUGAGGCCCUAUCAUGAGCUGUAAUAGCAUCUGUAAAAACAUGUAUAAAUACCCGAACACUUCUAUCAAUUGCAGCUCAUGAUAGGGCCCCACUAUUUUGUAUUGAUUCCAUUGCCUCUAGUACUAACAUUCUCUGUCCCUAGUAC